UACGGAGGGGGCUAGCGUUGUUCGGAAUUACUGGGCGUAAAGCGCACGUAGGCGGCUUUGUACGUUCGAGGUGAAAGCCCGGGGCUCAACUCCGGAAUUGCCUUUAAGACUGCAUCGCUAGAAUUGUGGAGAGGUAAGUGGAAUUCCGAGUGUAGAGGUGAAAUUCGUAGAUAUUCGGAAGAACACCAGUGGCGAAGGCGACUUACUGGACACAUAUUGACGCUGAGGUGCGAAAGCGUGGGGAGCAAACAGG
RNAcentral lists this ribosomal RNA (253 nucleotides) under uncultured bacterium. RNAcentral's name for it is "partial 16S ribosomal RNA". It matches the Rfam family "Bacterial small subunit ribosomal RNA", at positions 524 to 776 of the family's 1533-position model. The record is from RNAcentral.